This is a long non-coding RNA of Pantherophis guttatus, 3280 nucleotides long. RefSeq lists it as uncharacterized. The record is from RefSeq and is a predicted model, not a curated record. Lineage: Eukaryota; Metazoa; Chordata; Lepidosauria; Squamata; Colubridae.
GACUUCAACUCCCAGAAUUCUCCUGGCAGCAUGUUUCAAGGUGGGUGGACUUAAACUUCCAGAAUUCCUAAACUGACAUGCUUUAAGAUGCGUGGACUUCAACUCCCAGAAUUCCCCAGCUGGCAUGCUGGGAGUUGAAGUCCACCCAUCUUAAAGUGGGCAGGUUUGAAAAUUAACGUUCUUUCAAAAAGCAGAACGAGAAGCCCAGCCUGCUACAAAGAGAAGCCUUUGCUUCCAGCGAUGUCCUCAUUUGAAGGAUCCCUCUGAAGUCCUCAGGGGUCACGUUGGAAAGAAAAUUGAGUGGCUGAAACAGACAGAGGAGGCCGCCUGCAGAAGAAAAAGAACAAAGCGUUUUAGAAACUUGACUGGGUGGCAAGGAAGCACCUCACCAAUUUGAAUGGAUGCCUUUUUUGCAAUUGUGGAAAGAUAGUUGGAACUUCAGAGGUCAUCUAGUCCAACCCCCUCGUUUGAUGCUUGGCCUGUAGAACCAGACAGCGUAGACCCGAUCCAGAUCCCAUUUAUUAAGCUGCAGGGAUGGGAACCUGAGAAAUUAACCUUGUCUGUUUACAGCUACCACUUUUGCCCCCUGGGACACCAGUUAUUGCUGCCAUAUUGAUUUUUUUGACCUCCCCAUGGUCAUCUAAUCCAAGAUAUCUCCCCCUCCCGCACAAGCCACGUUUAAAAAAAAGCUCUGAACCCCUGAUCCCCCCCCCCCAGGCCCUGGUUUAGAGCAGCAGCCCCCAACCCUUUGGACACCAGGAACGGUUCCGUGGAGAGACGUUUUUCCAUGGACUAGAGGAGGCGUGGUUUCGCAUGCUGCCUGCAUCCCACGGAUGGGGCUUCGCUUGUUGGCGUGGCCCGGUUUCUGGCAUGCCGUGUGCCAGUCUAUGGACUGGGCAUUGCGGACUCCUUAUUUAGAGCAGGGAUCUCCGACCUUGGCAACUUUGUGGACUUCAGCUCCCAGAAUUCCUCAGCCAGCUUUGCUUGUGGACUUCAGCUCCCAGAAUUCCUCAGCCAGCUUUGCUUGUGGACUUCAGCUCCCAGAAUUCCUCAGCCAGCUUUGCUUGUGGACUUCAGCUCCCAGAAUUCCCCAGCCAGCUUGCUUGUGGACUUCAGCUCCCAGAAUUCCUCAGCCAGCUUUGCUUGUGGACUUCAGCUCCCAGAAUUCCUCAGCCAGCUUUGCUUGUGGACUUCAGCUCCCAGAAUUCUGGGAGCUGAAGUCCACAAGCCUUAAAGUUGCCAAGGUUGGAGACCCUGGUGUAGAGUAUUUACCCACAUCCUAUGUGCUUUAUUGUCAAUUUUAAUGAUAUCUUUUAUCCUGAUGUACGGGUGGUACUUUUGUAAAAAUGCAUUAUACGGUUGCACUUAUGGUGUUUGGCACCCAAAUCAUUGUAGAGUUAGUCAACCUUACAAAUUUCUUAAGCAAGUAGAAAUAUAAGAACUUAAAAGCCAGGAUGGUACCCCUGAGAGCAUCAAGACCAACCCCUUUCUCUGCUUAGAGGUUAGUUUAGGAACUCUGAUAGUUGUCCAACUGCAGUUUGAAUGCAACCAAGUCAGCAUCUCUCUGGGGCUUUGCAUUGUCUGACGGCUCUUUGUGAGAGAUUUUUUUCUAACAUCCCUCCUGGUGACUUAAAUCCCUUACACGUAGUCCUCGAUUUACAACCGUUCCAUUUAGUAACCAUUCGGAGUUUACAAUGGCACUGAAAAAAGUGCCUUAUGACUGUUUUCCACACACAGCCGUUGCAGCAUCCCUGUGGUCACGUGAUCAACAUUCAGACCCCCCCUCCCCCGGCAGUUCAUAUUUAUGACGAUUGCAGUGUCACGGUGUCUUGUGAUCCUCUUUUUGUGACCUGACAAGCAAAGUCAACGUGAAAGCUAGAUUCACUUAACUGGGUGACUAACUUAACAACUGCAGUGAUUGACGUGACAAUUGCGGCAAGAAAGGUCGUAAAAUGGGGUAAAGUUCGCUUAACUGCUGUCUCGCUUAGCAACAGAAAAUUUGGGGCUCAAUUGCGAGCACUACCUGUAUUGCUUGGCCUUCCCUCUUGAGAUUAUUUUUUCUCAAAAUUAAACCUUCCCAUUUUCUCUUCUUCUAAAGUUCCUGAUUGUCCUUUCCGUCUUUUUAACGUUCUGAAGAAUCUGAAGAUUAUUCCGAUUAUUUUUUAACUGGGAAGAAUUAAGACUCAAAAGACUAGAUCUCUGCUGUUCUAUUAUUUUUUAUAAAUUAGUGUGGAACAAGCUACCAUAGAUCAUAAAAAAGCAGAAUAUACAGUAGUUAAAAUAUGAGUCUCGGCUGACCAAAAUUAAGACUAAACCUUCCUGAGGUUGGUGGUGGUUGAAUUUGGGAAUUUUUGCGUUAAAAUAGAUGUCCUGCCAUUAAACAAUGCUUUUCUCCUUCUGAAACGCCCAAUGGAUCUACUUUCAGUUGCAAAAUGCAAAAUCUGAGUUUGGAUGACCUCAUCUCUGCUUUUCAACGUCUCCCAUUGGUCGGCGUCUCAACUCCUGCGAUUCUUUAACCAGCCACCAGAUGGCAGUAGGGAUUAACCAAUGGAGCCUCUUGCUUUACUUCCCCCCCCCCCUUUUUUUGCCCCUAAAUCAACUUUAAUUUUUCUUUUCUUUUUCUUUUUGGAAUGUAUAGAAUAAUUUAAUUCUCUCCACCUCCAGUCAAUUUGCAAGCUAAGCUACUUCAGGGGGCCUCGGUGAGAUGGGAGGCCUAGAAGUCUAAUAAUAAAUAAAUGAAAUAAAAUGUAUGACCGAAAACGUCCCCAUUCAAAAAUGCUUUUUUAAAAAAAGGAUGAUGAAUGUCAAGUAUCACCUAAAUUCCAGAAUUCCUUUUCUCUGGUCACAGAAGAAGUAAAAAAAUGUUUUUUUCUCUCAAUCUUUUUCCUUGUUAUAUUAAACAUUUACAUUCUGUUGGCUCCUUUUAGAGGUUUUGAGGUGCUUCAUGCAUCUCAUCCUCACAAGAACCCUGCGAGGUGGGACACUAUCCUGUUUCCCCUAUAUAUAGAUUCCUGCUUCAACUGGCAGAAGAACGGAGAAAAAUCCAUUUUUUAGCCUUUCAGAUCCACCGUCUUGCCAGAGCCGCCGACGGUAGUCGCAGCAAACACACAACAGCGUGUUUAAACCUUUCCUUUGUUGCCAUCAAGUACUGCUUGCAGACAGUUGAAAAGAAGCCAGCGACGGGGAAAUGCCACUAAAAUGCAAGAACAGCCUGAGCACGGCUGAAGCGCCAGGAAAGCAAAGGGAGGCGGCUGCGUUAAACAGAAAAACAGAAAAAGUC